CCUACAGUGACCGAGUUCCCUCAGCCAGCCUGACAUUGCGGAUGCUGCUGCAAGGAUGACGCUGAUGAUACUGGAUGAAACUUAGGGCCGUUGGGGAGGCGGAAGCGGAUGAGGAGUCUCUGUGCUUGCUCACCCCGGGCCAGAUCUCAGUGAUCCAGAGCGAGGAGAGGGUCUUCAGCUCGGAAGGCUGUGCCUAUCUCUGACUUCUGAAUGUCCGGCUUCCGCCUCCCAUCUAACUGGAUGCCAGCGUCCAGCCAUCCUGCUGGACGCGGGGGGAGAAGCCCCAUUUUACCGCUCGACGAGAGGACAGAGCCUGGCAGCCCCUGAGAUAAGUGUGGCUGUUGGGUAAGGAGCCCAAACCACCUGAAGGCCCG
RNAcentral lists this long non-coding RNA (374 nucleotides) under Heterocephalus glaber (naked mole-rat). RNAcentral describes it as "lncRNA (ENSHGLG00100033913.1)". Lineage: Eukaryota; Metazoa; Chordata; Mammalia; Rodentia; Bathyergidae. The record is from RNAcentral.